Molecule: long non-coding RNA, 467 nt
Filed under: Mytilus galloprovincialis (Mediterranean mussel)
Lineage: Eukaryota; Metazoa; Mollusca; Bivalvia; Mytilida; Mytilidae
Source: RNAcentral
CCUCAGGCAUAGAUUACCUUAGCUGUAUUUGGCAUAACUUUUAGGAAUUUUGGUCCUUAAUGCUCUUCAACUUCGUACUUUAUUUGGCCCUUUUAACUUUUUUGGAUUCGAGCGUCACUGAUGAGUCUUUUGUAGACGAAACGCGCGUCUGGCGUAUAUACAAAAUUUAGUCCUGGUAUCUAUGAUGAGUUUAUUUAUAUGAAAAACCAAAGUCAUUUUGAUUGCCUAUCUCGUCAGUGGUAGUCGAAACUAAAUGUUAAAAAUUACAUAUACAUUGUAUUCAAAUGUUAAAGAAUAAAUACUACCAAUAAUAGACAGUAAAAUUAGCGGGAAUGACACUGGUACCUUGUAAAAUUAGAUCUUAAUACUUUGACUCUGUCCUACAAAGCUAUAUGUUUUUUUUCCUUAUUAUUGUAUUUACUUUACUACAUAACCUUAUAUAGAUAUUAUUUUUAGUCGUGAUCGUU